CCUACGGGAGGCAGCAGUGAGGAAUAUUGGUCAAUGGCCGGAAGGCUGAACCAGCCAUGCCGCGUGAAGGUCAGUGCCCUAUGGGCGUUAAACUUCUUUUGUGCGGGAGCAAUAAUGGUCACGUGUGGCCAGACGAGAGUACCGUACGAAUAAGCAUCGGCUCACUCCGGGCCAGCAGCCGCGGGAAUACGGGGGAUGCAAGCGUUGUCCGGAUUUUUUGGGUGUAACGGGUGCGUAGGCUGUGAGGUAAGUCAGCGGUGAAAUGCCCCCGCUCAACGGGGUGAAGUGCCAUUGAUACUGCCAUUCUGGAAUGCGAAUGCCGUGUGAGGAAUGUGUGGUGUAGCGGUGAAAUGCAUAGAUAUCACACAGAACACCGAUUGCGAAGGCAUCUCACGAAUCCGCGAUUGACGCUGAUGCACGAAAGCGUGGGUAUCAAACAGGAUUAGAUACCCCUGUAGUC
Molecule: ribosomal RNA, 460 nt
Filed under: uncultured bacterium
Lineage: Bacteria
Description: partial 16S ribosomal RNA
Rfam family: Bacterial small subunit ribosomal RNA
Source: RNAcentral